Molecule: long non-coding RNA, 1074 nt
Organism: Egretta garzetta (little egret)
Lineage: Eukaryota; Metazoa; Chordata; Aves; Pelecaniformes; Ardeidae
Exons: 4
Source: RefSeq, a predicted model, not a curated record
UUGUAGCUUCUGUGGAGCCCAGCUGAUGUUUGUCCUAACCUUGUCAGAAAAACAGGUGCCUGAAGGCAAGGAAACGGGUGUUUCUAGAUCUGUAGAAAGUGCGUAAUUAACAUGGAGAUCAACCCUCCGUAGUCACGAGAUCCUUGCAAAUCUCCUGCCUCAUGAUUACAUGUCUAGAGCAGAGCCCGAGCCAGGUGGUAACUGAUGGACUGCUUCGGAGAGCAGCUGUCUUUGUGCUCAUGUGAGUUGUCUGCGUCAAUCUGGCGUGGAGCAAGAGCCCCUGUGCUUGUGCUGUGCUGACAGCUGAAGAGGUUUUGGCGCUGAGCGUUGAAGGGUAGCUGCUAAAGUCUUUUGUUUCUCUUGACAGGAAGCCCAGAAUUCCCAUGUCUACUGGUGGCGCUACUGCAUUCGCCUGGAGAACCUUGACAGUGAAGUGGUACAACUCCGAGAGCGGCACUGGAGGAUAUUUAGCUUGUCUGGCACCUUGGAAACAGUCAGGGGCCGUGGCGUUGUAGGAAGGGAGCCAGUUUUAUCCAAAGAACAGCCGGCGUUUCAGUACAGCAGUCACGUCUCCCUGCAGGCAUCCAGUGGUCACAUGUGGGGUACUUUUCGAUUUGAGAGGCCUGAUGGCUCCCACUUUGAUGUCCGAAUCCCACCCUUUUCUCUGGAAAGCAACAAAGAUGAGAAGACCCCCCCCUCCGGCCUUCACUGGUAGAGCAGACUGAGUGACGAGACCCACAGAGACCUGUGUGUGUUGUAGUCCUUUGCCUCCCCAUUAUGCUGCAGCCAAGAACACGGAGCUUUUAAACAUUUUAGACCAUUUUUGUUUUAACUGUCGUCUAACGGGGAGGCUUUUUUGAACUUUAACACUGGCUCUCUCAGGCUGCUUGUAAACAUAAGCUGUGUUACAGUUAACCCUUCCCUUUGUGGCACCUGCUGGGGUUGGAGCUGGGGGACGUAGAUCUGUGCUGCGUCAGAAGACUGGCCCCCUCGGCAGGCCUGGAGCCUUUCCAAUAUGUUGUGAAUUCUCUGCAAUGUGAGGUUUCUCUAAUAAACUGGCCCUUCCAGUUGCAA